This 985-nucleotide unclassified non-coding RNA is filed under the name Hevea brasiliensis (rubber tree). Lineage: Eukaryota; Viridiplantae; Streptophyta; Magnoliopsida; Malpighiales; Euphorbiaceae. The record is from RNAcentral.
UUUUUUGAAAAAUUUGUAAAGUUUAUGAAAUGAGUAGAUAUUGAUAGAUACAAAUAAAAUUAAGAGACACAAUUAUACAAUAAGUAUAAAUACAUAAAAUUAGAUGUUAUGUUGUAAUUAAUAAUGUAUUUUGAUAAAAUUAAUUCUAAAAAAUAGUUCAAAUUAAAAAGUAUUAUUAGGGUAAUGGUAGUUACCGUUACUUAACAGUAGUAACGGCCGUUACCCAUGCAAAUCAAAAUAUGCCUUUAAAUAACAGCGUAACCGGUAACAAUCCAUCUAAAAACCUGUAAAUAAGGGCCGUUAUUUAAAAACAUGAUGGCCAUAUUGAAAAUAAAAGUAUUUCUAUUUAAUCAUAAGUCGGAAUCAUUAUCCAACCAUAACAUAUAUAGAAGCUUCCUAGAUUACAAACCAAAGACGUUGUCACUAAUAUUAUAAUGGAUGCUAAGAUAAAAUAUCUUCUCAAAUGCAUAUAGAAGGAACUUCAUGGCAACAUACAAAUAGCUAAAUUAUAGUGGAGUAUUCAUUGGGAAUAAAAUUAGUUAAUACCAUGCUCAUCACUAAACAUUAUUAUUAAUAACCUUCUUACAGUAAAGCUUGAAGUUAAUGAACUUAGACCUAUGUUGAAUUUAUUAUAAGCACAUCACAAAACAUUAUAGUGAAUAAUUUAACUCAAACAACUAGACCAUCAUGCUAGGCGACUUCCAACCACAUAAAGUUCAUACAUAUCAUACUACAUAGCCCUUCUACUGUAUUUGAUCUUGUAUCCAGAUGCUUUUGGAAGGUCGAAAGCUAUUAGGGCAAUUUUUUAACUAAUAUGUUUUCCAAACAUUUUACAUGCGCAUUAAAUUUAGAAUGUUGCAAAUUAGUGAAGCGUAAAACAAUAAGAUUGCUCAAAUCACCAAGUUCAUUGAUAUAGUGCAAAAAAGAUGCUGAAAUCUGAAUAUGAUCCAGAUACACUUACCUUUCUUCACACGUACAAACUUGC